UCGCGGCUUAUCACCGGCAGUCUCCUUAGAGUGCUCAACUUAAUGGUAGCAACUAAGGACGGGGGUUGCGCUCGUUGCGGGACUUAACCCAACAUCUCACGACACGAGCUGACGACAGCCAUGCAGCACCUGUGUUCCAGGCCCCGAAGGGAAGGCCACAUCUCUGCGACCGGUCCUGGACAUGUCAAGAGCUGGUAAGGUUCUUCGCGUUGCAUCGAAUUAAUCCACAUGCUCCGCCGCUUGUGCGGGCCCCCGCCAAUUCCUUUGAGUUUUAGCCUUGCGGCCGUACUCCCCAGGCGGGGCGCUUAAUGCGUUAGCUACGGCACGGAUCCCGUGGAAGGAAACCCACACCUAGCGCCCACCGUUUACGGCGUGGACUAC
RNAcentral lists this unclassified non-coding RNA (381 nucleotides) under uncultured bacterium. RNAcentral's name for it is "contains 16S-23S intergenic spacer region". The record is from RNAcentral.